AUGGAGCCGGCUGCCCUCAUCAACCACGCCCGCUGCCCCCGCAACAGCCACAAGGUCAUCGCCUCCUCGCCGGCGAUGGAGCACCAGGUUUUCCUGCUAAACCAGCAUGCGGUCGUGGUCAUCGCGGUGGGCACCAAGGUGCAUGCAGCGAGCCCACUCUCCAUCGGCCGCGCGCUUGAGCGCGAACUCAAGAUCCCUCCACACCUGCUCCGCGUCACCAACCACGACCCCGAGGACUUCUUCGUCUACUUCACCUUGCCGGCGCACAAGGACCUCGCGGUGGGGCGCGGCUCGCUGUCGGUGGAUGGCCUGCCGUUCCUGCUCGAGCCCUGGAGGGAGGACGCCCACGCCGUCCGGCUCAAGUGGAUGCUGCACGUUCGCGUGGUCAUCGAGAAGCUCCCCAUGCAGCUCUGGACAAUGGAGGGCGCGGUGGAGGCCAUCGGCGACAAGGUCAUCGUCGACCGCCUCGACAGCCGGACCCAUCAGCGCGUCGACACCAAGCUAUUCGCAUCUUGGGUCUGGUGCUGGGACACUGCCCACAUCCCCACGAAGCGCACGAUCUGGAAGCAUGCCCGGGGCGCCGGCCGCGUUGAUGAGAUGGUGGGCUACUCUCCUCCGAGCCGCGCCAUGGCGCCUGCAGUACGACUUGCUUCUCCACCUGGAUCGCGUGGAGGACUGGACUCCUCUCUCGCCGCAUUCAUCCCACUCGCCGUAGAGAGGCAUCCCCUCCGACGACGACGAGCCUGA
RNAcentral lists this ribosomal RNA (747 nucleotides) under Triticum aestivum (bread wheat). RNAcentral describes it as "partial small subunit ribosomal RNA". The record is from RNAcentral. Lineage: Eukaryota; Viridiplantae; Streptophyta; Magnoliopsida; Poales; Poaceae.